GGAACACAGCCUCUAUCGCUCUAGGGCUGGGAACAGCGAAGCAAAACAGGCUGCAGGGUCUCUAGAGGACUCUACAGGCAGCGGGGUCCAGUGGCAGUGGCCUGUUCUGGGUGUAUUCAGUAUUGUAUUGGUCGGUGUUGGUGUUGGAGCUGCUCUGAAAUGCAGAGACAAAAUGCGGAAGCCACAAGACGCUGAGACAGAGGAGAAGCAGACACAGUCUGAUUACAGGUCCAACUCUCUGUAUGCAGUCUGGGUUAAAGAGAGGAACGGGAACACUGACGAAUCACCAGCAGGUGAUGUUGCCUCUUGUGGGUCUCAUCCACAAAAUGCAGCGCCCAGACCUCCAUCAGAGGGGAGAGGAGACAAUAUGCAGUCAGCUGUGGAAUUACAGCUUUAGGUUCAAAUGGAUGGAGAGUGAUUCAGAUAGGAGUAUGAACGAAAUAAGCCUGAACAGUGUAUAGGCCACCAACCACUAUAAUAAUAUAUCAGCACAGUAUCAGACUUGCUGGGUACACACUAUACAGGAAUCAAGCCAGGGAAAUAUGUAUACCAUGCAUCAACGUUCUUUUAUUAAACAUAUUUCCAAUGGAGCUAUUCACAUGAAAUGUACACCUGACAUUGAUAUUAAUUCAAUAAAACUAUACAGUCGCAUUCACUAUACACUGGACACUACACUAUACAGACACAUUCAAUGAGACUAUAAGUGGAACAACACAGGAAAAAAAUAUUGGACACGUCAACUGAAAUGUACUUAAUAACUGCUGGAGAACAGCUUUCAUAAUGCCUCCUGUAUGGAGAAAUGAAUCUCUCACAGUGUUCACGUUGCAUUUUGGUCAAUACUUUUUCCUGUGUUAUUCCACUUUAUUGUGCAUAACUUUAAAAUGCAUAGUUAUACUGAGUUCACAAUAAUGUCUGGUGUAAAGUUCACGUGAAUAGCUGCAUUUCAAAUAUGUUUAAUGAAAAAAAUGUUGAUGUGUUUAAUACUUAU
Molecule: long non-coding RNA, 988 nt
Organism: Epinephelus fuscoguttatus (brown-marbled grouper)
Lineage: Eukaryota; Metazoa; Chordata; Actinopteri; Perciformes; Serranidae
Exons: 4
Source: RefSeq, a predicted model, not a curated record